This 22-nucleotide non-coding RNA is filed under the name Mus musculus (house mouse). The record is from RNAcentral. Lineage: Eukaryota; Metazoa; Chordata; Mammalia; Rodentia; Muridae.
UAGCCUUUUGCCUCUGCUCACC